RNAcentral lists this ribosomal RNA (506 nucleotides) under uncultured bacterium. Its description in RNAcentral is "partial 16S ribosomal RNA". It matches the Rfam family "Bacterial small subunit ribosomal RNA", at positions 30 to 523 of the family's 1533-position model. The record is from RNAcentral.
AUUGAACGCUGGCGGCAGGCCUAACACAUGCAAGUCGAACGGUAACAGAAAGCAGCUUGCUGCUUUGCUGACGAGUGGCGGACGGGUGAGGAAUGUCUGGGAAACUGCCUGAUGGCGGGGGAUAACUACUGGAAACGGUAGCUAAUACCGCAUAACGUCGCAAGACCAAAGAGGGGGACCUUCGGGCCUCUUGCCAUCGGAUGUGCCCAGAUGGGAUUAGCUAGUAGGUGGGGUAACGGCUCACCUAGGCGACGAUCCCUAGCUGGUCUGAGAGGAUGACCAGCCACACUGGAACUGAGACACGGUCCAGACUCCUACGGGAGGCAGCAGUGGGGAAUAUUGCACAAUGGGCGCAAGCCUGAUGCAGCCAUGCCGCGUGUAUGAAGAAGGCCUUCGGGUUGUAAAGUACUUUCAGCGAGGAGGAAGGUGUUGUGGUUAAUAACCACAGCAAUUGACGUUACUCGCAGAAGAAGCACCGGCUAACUCCGUGCCAGCCGCCGCCGUAA